Mus musculus (house mouse) is the source of this 5438-nucleotide RNA transcript. It is a transcript of the gene named LEM domain containing 2, with no coding region annotated. The record is from RefSeq and is marked validated. The transcript has 9 exons. Lineage: Eukaryota; Metazoa; Chordata; Mammalia; Rodentia; Muridae.
AGGGAAAAAUGGAGCCAUGAAAGAUUUAUGGCCACUGUUAUUACAGGGCUCUGUUGAAACAGGAAGAGGCUAGCAAGAGAGGAGCGGCAUGAUGUGAUGGCCUUCUGGGGACCCAGAGGGUUCCAGCAACUCAUCACCUCUGCUGCUGCUGUGGAUGUGGUUAUAAACAGCCACAGGCUCAACAUUUUGUCUUUUCUGUCUGCCUUUAAUAAGUCAAAAAGACUGGCAUAGCAAGGGCUAUACACUUUACACACACAUAGCACACACACUUAUAUAAUACACACUUACACGUGCACUCAGUUACACACACACACCCACACACUUAUACAAUUACACUUACACACUCAGUUAUACACAUGAUGAGGACGUAUGUGCACACACACACACACAUACACACACACGGUAAUGACAAAGUAGAGCUAGCUCUCAGUUAGCGACCCUGAGCCAUUUCCAUUUUGUUACAUACGCCUUCCAUGCCAGGCAGACCCCUUAGGAAGGCUCUGACAGGACAGGGGCAGAGGUGGCUAGACAGAGGUGAGCUCCUUCAGGAGCUUCGUGGACACCGCCCAGCAAAUCUACCAACAGAAUAAGAGUCCUGGGGACGGAGUACCAUGGAGGACCACAGUGGUCUAACCCCCAGAAAGAACAGACAGGGCCGGGAACUCAGAGAAGCAGAUGCACCCCCCAAGGCUCUUUUUCAGGGGCAGAGAAGGGGACCUGAGGGGCAGAUCCCCUGUAAGUGGCUGGGGCUGGAGGCUGCUGAUACACAAUGCCUAGGACCAAGAGGCCCAGAAGACAAAGCCAGAAGCCACCCAUGAGCCACAGGGCAAGCCAAGGUAGCUAAAGGCUAACACUGAGUUCUAGGCUAGAGGGAGGUCAAUACAGCUUGCUAUGGAUCAUUUGGUCCUAGGUGUGUGAGAGGAUGCCUGAAUGGUGUGCCACCAUUAGGGGUGGCCCCGGAACCGUCCAUGAUUUCUAUGCCUCCUUAGAUUCACUGGGAUGAAACAGACCACAGGUCUGUGAGACACCACAAUGCUCACUUUGAACAUCCAUUCAGACACUCUGAGAAUGCACUCGGCCAGUACCGACGCUGACAGGCUUGUGCUUCGGAUACUGAGCCAUACAUACAGCUGCAAGGAGUUGCUCAAAUGUUACCAACUCAUUUGUCAUGCAAACAGUGCUUUGGAAGAAAUAAAAUACUAUUAUGUGGUAUAUGUGUUAGGCAAUCACUAUAUCAAAUCCGUGGCACUCCGCGAAAACACAGGCAGAGAAAAGGAAAACAACACUUGGUGAGAGAAAUCACACCACAUGGGAGCAGCUAAGUCAGGGAGAAGGGGAGGCAAACGACAGAAGCCCAGCGGAGCUGAGGCUGUAAUUUUCCCAGCUGUGUGGCCGGCACUGAAUACUCCUGGGGUUUAACAAGCGACAGAGCGAUGAAACUCUGACAGAGGAGCACGGCCCAGGGUCUCAGGGAAGGCAGGGAGGGUGGCAGGUAGAGCUGCAGGGAGAUCUCGAGGGCUGGGAAGCUGGAGCUGCAAUAUUGCCAGGAAAAGGGAGGUGAUGGGUGAAGGAUGUGGAAGGAACAGCAAGGGGAGAGGGUGAGGCCAUGAACUGUGUUUGUUAGAUGGUGGGGGGACGGGUAAGGGUAACCACAUCACUGCCCCCACCCCCUCAAGGCUCCCAACUCCAACACUGCACAGAUUUGUCUAAGGGAGGAGUGCGCUCCAGGCCCUGUCCUGAAGGUCUCUUCUAAUCCUUAUAGCAGCCCUCUAGGGAGUUAUGGGAAGCUGGCUAGAAAUGUUAAUUGGAAAUUACCACACACUAAAUGGUUGCAGAUUGGAGAUCAAACUGCAAGACUCUGCAGAUCAUCCCCUAAACCGUAAGACACGGGUCUCCCGAUCCCAUCACCCAAGAGAAUUCCAACAUUUACGGGAACCUAGGGCAUAGGUAUUUGCCCCUAAGAGUUCAGAGUAUAGGGAUCCACCUAUGAGGACAUUUUGGGUCACCCGUGGCCACAGAGGAUCAAUCUGUCUCAGAGUUGCACCUUAAAAAAAUAUAUUUAUUUUAUGUGCGAGUGUUUUACCCACUUGUAUGUGCACCAGGUUCAUACCAUGCCAGCAGAGACCGGAAGAGAAAGAUACCAGAUCUUCUGGAAUUGGAAUUGUCCAUGACGUGACCAGCCACUGAUGUCCAAACCCUAGCUCCUCUGUAAGUGUUGUUACGCCCAGAGUCUUCUAUCUCUCCAGUCCCAAGGGUGCACACUCCUGAAGUUUCAGUGUCGACCAAGUGCAUGCCUGAAGCUGGCCUGAAGCAGCAGUCAAGAUAAGGUCUUGGAGAGCAUGCCGGGCGGUUACUCCACCACCCAAAUCCGACACACAGCCUCGACGCCCAUCCGGAGACUGGCAAGUGGGCCGGAUCUCUAUUAAUGGCGGUGGUUUUCUUACACCAUUGAGCUCAUCCAUUAAGUAAAUCAACAUUCCAUUGAACGUUUACCACGUGCUAACGCUGCGUUAGGAUAAACACUGCUAGGUCUGACAGAUAAAGAUAAGCUAGAGGGCGGGGGGAAGAGAUGAAAGCACCUGCACACACAAGUAAAACAAAACAAAACAGUAACCAAACCAACCCUUUGACCUCACCAACAUGGCGGCGCCAGGCCGACACAGACGCCUUUCAUCAUGGCGGACAUAGCCUCCAUGCGCCGCCCUUCCCAAUAUGGCGUCCGUGGUCGCCCUUCCCAUCAUGGCGCGCGGCCCCGCCCGCUCCGCCGCGGCUGCCGGCGGGAGCAGUUCCGGGUGCGGUGCGCGCCGGGGGCGGGCGAGGGGGCGGUGUCCUGGCCAUGGCCGGCCUGUCGGACCUGGAGUUGCGGCGAGAGCUGCAGGCCCUGGGCUUCCAGCCAGGCCCCAUCACCGACACCACGCGGAACGUCUACCGCAACAAGCUGCGCCGCCUGCGGGGCGAGGCCCGGCUGCGCGACGACGAGCGGCUGCGGGAGGACGCCGGGCCGCGGGAGGACGCCGGGCCGCGGGGCCCCGAGCGGCAGCGGGAGGAGGCCCGGCUACGCGAGGAAGCGCCGCUGCGCGCGCGGCCCGCCGCCAGCGUCCUGCGCUCGGAGCCCUGGCCGCUGUCGCCUUCCCCGCCGGCGCCUAGCGCGGCCUCCGACGCCUCGGGGCCGUACGGCAACUUCGGGGCCUCCGCCUCUCCCUGGGCCGCGAGCCGCGGCCUCUCCUACCCGCCCCACGCCGGGCCCGGGCCGCUGCGACGCCGCGCCUCGGUCCGGGGCAGCUCGGAGGAUGACGAGGAUACACGAACGCCGGACAGGCACGCCCCGGGCCGGGGCCGCCACUGGUGGGCCCCGCCGUCGGCCUCUGCGCGGCCGCACUCGGCGCUCCUCGGCGCCGACGCUCGCCCCGGCCUGAAGGGCUCGCGCACCGGCUCGGCGGGCGCCGGGCGGACCCGACCCGAGGUGGGCCGGUGGCUGGAGCGCUGCCUGUCUCGGCUCCUGCUCUGGGCCAGCCUGGGGCUGCUGCUCGGCUUCUUGGCCAUCCUGUGGGUGAAGAUGGGCAAGCCCUCGGCGCCGCAGGAGGCGGAGGACAACAUGAAAUUGUUGCCGGUCGACUGUGAGAGAAAAACAGAUGAGUUCUGCCAGGCCAAGCAGAAGGCGGCCCUGUUGGAGCUGCUGCACGAACUGUACAACUUCCUGGCCAUCCAGGCAGGUAAUUUUGAAUGUGGCAACCCGGAGAAGCUGAAGAGCAAGUGCAUCCCAGUCCUGGAGGCGCAGGAGUACAUAGCUAAUGUGACCAGCAGUCCCUCUUCGAGGUUUAAGGCUGCGCUGACCUGGAUCCUGAGCAGCAACAAGGACGUGGGCAUCUGGCUGAAAGGGGAAGACCCAUCUGAGCUGGCGACUACAGUGGACAAAGUGGUCUGCCUGGAGUCCGCCCGGCCCCGGAUGGGCAUAGGCUGCCGCCUCAGCCGCGCCCUGCUCACCGCUGUCACCCACGUGCUCAUCUUCUUCUGGUUAGGGAUGGUGUUCCUUGUGUUCCAGGCCUGGCCUUCCUGUGGGGGCUGCUGAUCCUCCUGAAGUACCGCUGGCGGAAGCUGGAGGAGGAGGAGCAGGCCAUGUAUGAGAUGGUGAAGAAGAUCAUAGAUGUGGUUCAGGACCACUAUGUGGACUGGGAACAGGACAUGGAGCGCUACCCCUACGUGGGCAUCCUCCACGUGCGGGACAGUCUAAUCCCCCCACAGAGCCGGCGGCGCAUGAAGCGAGUAUGGGACCGUGCUGUGGAAUUCCUGGCUUCCAAUGAAUCUCGGAUCCAGACUGAGUCCCACCGAGUGGCCGGGGAGGACAUGCUGGUGUGGAGAUGGACUAAGCCUUCCUCUUUCUCUGAUUCAGAGCGAUAGGGCAGGGCCUGUUACCGCCAGCCUGACCCAGCCACCCAGCUGGGGCAAGGACACAGACCUUUGGUGCUCAUUCACACCUGCCUUGAUUGCCCUCCGGGUCUCAGGUCUGGAACAUGUGGGCUUACUUAGGGUAGCCGGGAGAACAGGGGAGCCCUUCCUCUAUGUCAGUAUUACUGACUGACAGGGGAGAGUGGCUUGUUCUCCCUGGAUAAAAAGAUGGGCAGUGGUUGGAACCCUGGAGGUCCUGCACACAGCUAGACAGCACGGUGAUCCUGAAGCCCCUCGCUUGGAAGGUGGGUUGGGUGGUGGGGCAAAGCUUGGUCCAUGUGCCUUUUCGCUUCCAGGGAGCUUAAGGGGAGGGGAGGAACCCAGCCCACUCCUGCAUGGGCCUCUGUCCAGAAGGGGACGAUGUUAUAGAAGGUAGGAGCAGCUGGAGGGGACCAAGCAGAGGUGGCUGGGGUCUGGAAGGCGUGGGGAGUCCAGCCACAGCUGCCUGUGCCUCAGAGCUGCUCACAGGUCAGCAGUGCCACCUGAGCCAGGGUGGAGCUCAGCCUCCUCACCUACUUACUGUGCACAGGCUUCCUGGCUGCUUAGCCACACAGGUAGGGUGCAGCAUCGUGGCUGCACACUGCCCUCUGCAGGCCACAUGGAGUAGUGUGGGCCAUUAGCCCUCGGCUAUGGAGGACCUGCUCUAAAUACACCCAGUGGGGGGCCUCAUUAGCUGAGAGGGAGGCUUUCGAGCAACUCUUCAGGCGGGUCUCACCUACAGCAGCAGGAGGACAGCCCCUGGAGGUGACGUGCAGCUGCCUCCAGAAGACACAAGACACCCCCUUUUGGACCUAUUGCUGGUCUCUGUUUCUUAAUAAAGUGUGGUCUCCAUGUAGCAGUAUGCUCAUUUCGGUCUCCGUGUAGCAGUAUGCUCAUUGCCGUGUGUCUGGGUGGUCAGCAGGACCGGGACUGAGCAGGCCCCAGCCAGAAGACAAUGGCUUUUGUAUUGGGGGUGGAACUGUUGGAAAAAUAAAAUAUUUAUUGAGAACGGA